RNAcentral lists this transfer RNA (89 nucleotides) under Cronartium quercuum f. sp. fusiforme G11. It matches the Rfam family "tRNA". Rfam says of the family: Transfer RNA (tRNA) molecules are approximately 80 nucleotides in length. Their secondary structure includes four short double-helical elements and three loops (D, anti-codon, and T loops). Further hydrogen bonds mediate the characteristic L-shaped molecular structure. tRNAs have two regions of fundamental functional importance: the anti-codon, which is responsible for specific mRNA codon recognition, and the 3' end, to which the tRNAs corresponding amino acid is attached (by aminoacyl-tRNA synthetases). tRNAs cope with the degeneracy of the genetic code in two manners: having more than one tRNA (with a specific anti-codon) for a particular amino acid; and 'wobble' base-pairing, i.e. permitting non-standard base-pairing at the 3rd anti-codon position. The record is from Rfam by way of RNAcentral. Lineage: Eukaryota; Fungi; Basidiomycota; Pucciniomycetes; Pucciniales; Coleosporiaceae.
GACUGGAUAGCCUAGUGGAAAAGGUGUCACAUUGACAUUAUGUCUUGGCUUACAUGCUGAGGUCCCAGGUUUGAAUCCUGGUCUAGUCA